RNAcentral lists this small RNA (279 nucleotides) under marine eukaryotic metagenome. Its description in RNAcentral is "5' ureB small RNA". It matches the Rfam family "5' ureB small RNA". The record is from RNAcentral.
AAUCUGCUGCGGGCAGAUGAAAUGGAUAUGGCUGUCAAAACCGCCAGCCGUCAGAAUAUGGCCUUCGGCGGCAAUGGCCUCGGUGCCGGGGCCGAUGAUGAUGUCCACACCUGGCUGGGUAUCCGGGUUGCCGGCUUUGCCAAUGCCGCAGAUCACGCCGUCCUUCAGCCCGAUAUCUGCCUUGUAGAUGCCGGAUGCGUCUACCACCAGCGCAUUGGUGAUCACCGUAUCAACCGCCCCUUUGGCGCGGCUGGCCUGUGACUGGCCCAUGCCGUCGCG